UGGGGAAUAUUGCACAAUGGGCGCAAGCCUGAUGCAGCCAUGCCGCGUGUGUGAAGAAGGCCUUCGGGUUGUAAAGCACUUUCAGCGAGGAGGAAGGUGGUGAGCUUAAUACGCUCAUCAAUUGACGUUACUCGCAGAAGAAGCACCGGCUAACUCCGUGCCAGCAGCCGCGGUAAUACGGAGGGUGCAAGCGUUAAUCGGAAUUACUGGGCGUAAAGCGCACGCAGGCGGUUUGUUAAGUCAGAUGUGAAAUCCCCGGGCUCAACCUGGGAACUGCAUUUGAAACUGGCAAGCUAGAGUCUCGUAGAGGGGGGUAGAAUUCCAGGUGUAGCGGUGAAAUGCGUAGAGAUCUGGAGGAAUACCGGUGGCGAAGGCGGCCCCCUGGACGAAGACUGACGCUCAGGUGCGAAAGCGUGGGGCAGCAAACAGGAUUAGAUACCCUGGUAGUCCACGCUGUAAACGAUGUCGAUUUGGAGGUUGUGCCCCUUGAGGCGUGGNUUCCGGAGCUAACG
RNAcentral lists this ribosomal RNA (512 nucleotides) under uncultured bacterium. Its description in RNAcentral is "partial 16S ribosomal RNA". It matches the Rfam family "Bacterial small subunit ribosomal RNA", at positions 355 to 857 of the family's 1533-position model. The record is from RNAcentral.